Bradysia coprophila is the source of this 251-nucleotide long non-coding RNA. NCBI's taxonomy places the organism in Eukaryota, Metazoa, Arthropoda, Insecta, Diptera, Sciaridae. The record is from RefSeq and is a predicted model, not a curated record.
GUAACUCACGAGAAGUGGUAACUCACGAGAAAUGAUAACUCACGAGAAGUGGUAACUCACGAUAAGUGGUAACUAACGAGAAAAGUGGUAACAAUCUAGAAGUUGUAACUAUCGAGAAGUGGUAGCUAUCGAGAAGUGGUAACUAUCGAAAAGUGGUAACAAUAGAGAAGUUGAAACUAUAAGAAAUGCUAACUCUCGAUAAAUCUUGAUUCUUAAGGUAACUUUUGUUAUGGAAGCGAUUACUACACAGA